GGCAUGCAUCUGUAGUUCCAGCUAUUCAGGAAGCUGAGGCGGGAGGAUCACUUGAGGCCAGGAGGCUGAGGUUGCACUGAGCUGUGUUGGUGCCACUGCACUCCAGCCUGGGCUGCAGAGUGAGACCCUGUCUCAAAAAAAGAAAAAGAAAAAAAAAAGAAAAGAAAGAAAAAGAAAAGCAAAGAAAGAAAGCAACAACUAUCUCUUCUUGGAACUUUAGGAAUUUUUAGAGGAGGUACCUGUCAUUAUGAUACUGGAACUUAUUCAGGAGUCCAGCAUGUUUCAUCAUACAUCCCGCAGGUCAUGGAAGGAGAGUGACUCCAUGAAUCUAACAUAAAGAACACAGGAAGAGGGAAUGUUGAGAAGAUGAUGAGAACUAACCUGGCACAUACUAAGUUCUUACAUUUGUGCAGCACUUUGACAUUUACAGAGUAAUCUGGAGCCAUAAUAUUAUUUGUUCCCCACAGCCAUUCUGUGGAGAAAGGACAAACUUCAUCUUCAUUUGGGAGAUGAAGAAAACCAAGGAAAUUAGGUAUAAUGAACUCAAUUAAACUCACAAAACUGGUCAAUAGCACAUCUGGGACUAGAAUUCAUGUAUCUUGAUGAGUAGUUCAGUGUUUUCCUAUUACAUCCAACUGGUAAUGCAAUCUGUAGUAUAAUUUUUAAUAAAAUGCUAUUUAGGUAUACGUGUGUGUGUUUAGG
This 702-nucleotide long non-coding RNA is filed under the name Homo sapiens (human). RNAcentral's name for it is "HSALNT0115376". Lineage: Eukaryota; Metazoa; Chordata; Mammalia; Primates; Hominidae. The record is from RNAcentral.